GACGAACGCUGGCGGCGUGCUUAACACAUGCAAGUCGAACGGAAAGGCUCCUGCCUGCCGGGGUACUCGAGUGGCGAACGGGUGAGUAACACGUGGGUGAUCUGCCCUGUACUUCGGGAUAAGCUUGGGAAACUGGGUCUAAUACCGGAUAUGACAAUCUCUUGGAUGGGGUUGUGGAAAGCUUUUGCGGUAUGGGAUGAGCUCGCGGCCUAUCAGCUUGUUGGUGGGGUAAUGGCCUACCAAGGCGUCGACGGGUAGCCGGCCUGAGAGGGUGUACGGCCACAUUGGGACUGAGAUACGGCCCAGACUCCUACGGGAGGCAGCAGUGGGGAAUAUUGCACAAUGGGCGCAAGCCUGAUGCAGCGACGCCGCGUGGGGGAUGACGGCCUUCGGGUUGUAAACUCCUUUCGCAACCGACGAAGCUUUUGUGACGGUAGGUUGAGAAGAAGCACCGGCUAACUACGUG
RNAcentral lists this ribosomal RNA (466 nucleotides) under uncultured bacterium. RNAcentral describes it as "partial 16S ribosomal RNA". It matches the Rfam family "Bacterial small subunit ribosomal RNA", at positions 28 to 507 of the family's 1533-position model. The record is from RNAcentral.